Long non-coding RNA from Mercenaria mercenaria, 1399 nucleotides. RefSeq lists it as uncharacterized. The transcript has 2 exons. The record is from RefSeq and is a predicted model, not a curated record. Lineage: Eukaryota; Metazoa; Mollusca; Bivalvia; Venerida; Veneridae.
AAUGCUCAGGUGAGUUUUUCUGAUCACUCGAUGUCCGGCGUCCGUUGUCUGUCUGUCUGUCGUCUGUCAACAUUUAGCUUGUGUAUGCGAUAGAGGCUGUAUUUUUCAAUUGAUCUUCAUGAAUAUUGGUCAGAAUGAUAACCUUGAUGAAAUCUAGGCCGAGUUCGAAAAUGGGUCAUCUCGGGUCAGAAACUAGGUCACUAGGUCAAAUCAAAGAAAAACCUUGUGUAUGCAAUAGAGGCUGUAUUUUUCAAUUGAUCUUCAUGAAUAUUGGUCAGAAUGAUUGCCUUGAUGAAAUGUAGGCCGAGUUUGAAAAUGGGUCAUCUCGGGUCAAAAACUAGGUCACUAGGUCAAAUCAAAGAAAAACCUUGUGUAUGCGAUAGAGGCUGUAUUUUUCAUUUGAUCUUCAUGAAUAUUGGUCAGAAUGCUUGCCUUGAUGAAAUCUAGGAUGAGUUCGAAAAUGGGUCAUCUCGGGUCAAAAACUAAGUCACUAGGUCAAAUCAAAGAAAAACCUUGUGUAUGCGAUAGAGGCUGUAUUUUUCAAUUGAUCUUCAUGAAUAUUGGUCAGAAUGAUUGCCUUGAUGAAAUCUAGGCCGAGUUCGAAAAUGGGUCAUCUCGAGUCAAAAACUAGGUCACUAGGUCAAAUCAAAGAAAAACCUUGUGUAUGGGAUAGAGGCUGUAUUUUUCAAUUGAUCUUCAUGAAUUUUGGUCAGAAUGAUUACCUUGAUGAAAUCUAGGCCGAGUUUGAAAAUGGGUCAUCUGGGAUCAAAAACUAGGUCACUAGGUCAAAUUAAAGAAAAACCUUGUGUAUGCAAUAGAGGCUGUAUUUUUCAAUUAAUCUUCAUGAAUUUUGGUCAGAAUGAUUGCCUUGAUGAAAUCUAGGUCAACUUCGAAUAUGGGUCAUCUGGGGUCAAAAAGUAGGUCAUUAGGUCAAAUCAAAGAAAAACCUUGUGUAUGCGAUAGAGGCUAUAUUUUUCAAUUGAUCUUCAUGAAAUUCAGUCAGAAUGAUUGCCUUGAUAAAAUCUUGGUCAAGUUUGAAUAUGGGUCAUCUUGGAUCAAAAAUUAGGUCACUUGGUCAAAUCAAAGAAAAACCUUGUGUAUGCAAUAGAGGCUGUAUUUUUCAAUUGAUCUUUAUGAAAUUUGGUCAGAAUUAUUGCCUUGAUAAAAUCUAGGUAGAGUUUGGUUAUUGGUCAUCUGUGGUCAAAAACUAAGUCACUAGGUCAAAUCAAAGAAAAACCUUGUGUAUGCAAAAGAGGCUGUAUUUUUCAGUUGAUCUUUAUGAAAUUUGGUCAGAACGAUUUCCUUGAUGAAAUCUAGGUCAAAUAAAAGAAAUACUUGUGUUUGCUCCAAUUUUAAUGAUACUUGGUCAGAAUAUUUUUUUCCAUGCAAUCACUAGGUC